Pygocentrus nattereri (red-bellied piranha) is the source of this 660-nucleotide long non-coding RNA. The record is from Ensembl. NCBI's taxonomy places the organism in Eukaryota, Metazoa, Chordata, Actinopteri, Characiformes, Serrasalmidae.
UGGGAACAGAGAGAGAGGUCAGCCUGCAACUCAGCCUGCUCAGGUACAUGUGCUGCGCUGGAUUCCUGGAUUCUGCCGCCCACGCCGCGAUCACAGAAUCAUCUGAAGAUCAAUUUAUAUGGCUGUAAAUGAUCAGGGCCCACUGGGACUUCCACAACGCAGGGGUCAAGACCAUGGAAAACUGAACUGAGGUCAAACAGUGUUGGACGUAGUAUGCCCCACUGGCCCACGGAUACAACACCAAUCAAUCAGCGACACUGGUCAGAAGCAAAGCGAGGCAGAAUUCCAGAGCUCUCUCCCAUGACAGAACCAACAGUCCGUUAUAACUUAAUGGAAACAACUGUAUCGCUCUUGAGAAAAUAUGUAUGCUACAUUUCAGAGCUACUGAAUCGGUCGUUUCUAGGACCCUUUGCUCAAAUAACUCCAUGACCUUUAGUUAACCUGCCCAUUCAAGACAUGUUUUGAUAAAGUGCCGGUUUAAUUUGAUCAGAGUCAGGAGUGUGAAAUGAUCGUGACGCACGAUUGUAUACAAAAAAAAAUGUAACACCAUCAACAAAAUGACAUUUUCUUGAUUUUCUAUAUGAGAACGAGUCAAAACAUCCUCUACCAGAAACUUAAAUAUGCCAUUUUUCUGCUGUAAUGUUGGGCCACGUUUCAUUC